This 461-nucleotide ribosomal RNA is filed under the name uncultured bacterium. Its description in RNAcentral is "partial 16S ribosomal RNA". It matches the Rfam family "Bacterial small subunit ribosomal RNA", at positions 338 to 795 of the family's 1533-position model. The record is from RNAcentral.
CCUACGGGAGGCAGCAGUGAGGAAUAUUGGUCAAUGGGCGGAAGCCUGAACCAGCCAAGUCGCGUGAGGGAUUAAGGCCCUGCGGGUCGUAAACCUCUUUUGCCGGGGAGCAGUGGUCCGGACGCGUCCGGACCGGGAGAGUACCCGGAGAAAAAGCAUCGGCUAACUCCGUGCCAGCAGCCGCGGUAAUACGGAGGAUGCGAGCGUUAUCCGGAUUUAUUGGGUUUAAAGGGAGCGUAGAUGGGUUGUUAAGUCAGUUGGGAAAGUUUGCGGCUCAACCGUAAAAUUGCAAUUGAUACUGGCUGUCUUGAGUACAGUUGAUGUAGGCGGAAUUCGUGGUGUAGCGGUGAAAUGCGUAGAUAUCACGAAGAACUCCGAUUGCGAAGGCAGCUUACUAAACUGCCACUGACAUUGAGGCUCGAAAGUGUGGGUAUCAAACAGGAUUAGAUACCCUGGUAGUC